This 293-nucleotide small RNA is filed under the name Pongo abelii (Sumatran orangutan). RNAcentral's name for it is "processed transcript". Lineage: Eukaryota; Metazoa; Chordata; Mammalia; Primates; Hominidae. The record is from RNAcentral.
GCUUUGUUGCAGAACCUGAAGGAAAAGAUCGCCCUUUUGAAGGACUUAUUGCUAAGAGCUGUGUCAACACAUCAGAUAACACAGCUUGAAGGGGACCGAAGACAGAACCUCUUGGAUGAUCUUGUAACUCGAGAGAGACUACUUCUGGCAUCCUUUAAGAAUGAGGGUGCCGAACCAGAUCUAAUCAGGACCAGAAGUCUAGGAUAGUUCAGAAUAAGCUUCUAGAAGAAUUCUGUUUAAAAAUAAUCUAAGUACUGUCAAGGGGAAAUGACUCCUGUGGAGUGAUUUGAAGA